RNAcentral lists this ribosomal RNA (480 nucleotides) under uncultured Serratia sp. Its description in RNAcentral is "partial 16S ribosomal RNA". Lineage: Bacteria; Pseudomonadati; Pseudomonadota; Gammaproteobacteria; Enterobacterales; Yersiniaceae. The record is from RNAcentral.
CACGGAGUUAGCCGGUGCUUCUUCUGCGAGUAACGUCAAUGAACAGUGCUAUUAACACUGAACCCUUCCUCCUCGCUGAAAGUGCUUUACAACCCGAAGGCCUUCUUCACACACGCGGCAUGGCUGCAUCAGGCUUGCGCCCAUUGUGCAAUAUUCCCCACUGCUGCCUCCCGUAGGAGUCUGGACCGUGUCUCAGUUCCAGUGUGGCUGGUCAUCCUCUCAGACCAGCUAGGGAUCGUUGCCUAGGUGAGCCAUUACCCCACCUACUAGCUAAUCCCAUCUGGGCACAUCUGAUGGCGUGAGGCCCGAAGGUCCCCCACUUUGGUCCGAAGACGUUAUGCGGUAUUAGCUACCGUUUCCAGUAGUUAUCCCCCUCCAUCAGGCAGUUUCCCAGACAUUACUCACCCGUCCGCCGCUCGUCACCCAGAGAGCAAGCUCUCCUGUGCUACCGCUCGACUUGCAUGUGUUAGGCCUGCCGCC